CAGUCGCCACGGGAAUACGAAGGGGGCUAGCGUUGUUCGGAUUUACUGGGCGUAAAGGGUGCGUAGGCGGACUGAUAAGUCAGGGGUGAAAUCCCAAGGCUCAACCUUGGAACUGCCUUUGACACUGUUAGUCUUGAGUUCGAGAGAGGUAAGUGGAACUGCGAGUGUAGAGGUGAAAUUCGUUGAUAUUCGCAAGAACACCAGUGGCGAAGGCGGCUCACUGGCUCGAAACUGACGCUGAGGCACGAAAGCGUGGGGAGCAAACAGGAUUAGAUACCCGCGUAGUCCCUGUCUCUUAUAA
RNAcentral lists this ribosomal RNA (301 nucleotides) under uncultured bacterium. RNAcentral describes it as "partial 16S ribosomal RNA". It matches the Rfam family "Bacterial small subunit ribosomal RNA", at positions 509 to 809 of the family's 1533-position model. The record is from RNAcentral.